UUAGUAGAAGCCAAAACAGAGGCCUUUCAUUGUUAAUGAAAAAAUUGAUUAUAAUAAUCCUACUAAA
RNAcentral lists this transfer RNA (67 nucleotides) under Peirates atromaculatus. Its description in RNAcentral is "tRNA-Asn". Lineage: Eukaryota; Metazoa; Arthropoda; Insecta; Hemiptera; Reduviidae. The record is from RNAcentral.